AUCGUUCAUCUCUCUAAAUGUGCAGGAGAGACGGAAGUAGGGAGCAAUCCCGAAGGAACGCGCC
RNAcentral lists this non-coding RNA (64 nucleotides) under Desertifilum tharense IPPAS B-1220. RNAcentral's name for it is "Desertifilum sp. IPPAS B-1220 Glutamine riboswitch aptamer (glnA leader)". It matches the Rfam family "Glutamine riboswitch aptamer (glnA leader)". Lineage: Bacteria; Bacillati; Cyanobacteriota; Cyanophyceae; Desertifilales; Desertifilaceae. The record is from Rfam by way of RNAcentral. RNAcentral also lists the same sequence under 1 other name.